Molecule: ribosomal RNA, 75 nt
Filed under: Vibrio sp. 1151_11
Lineage: Bacteria; Pseudomonadati; Pseudomonadota; Gammaproteobacteria; Vibrionales; Vibrionaceae
Also listed under: 1 other name
Description: partial 16S ribosomal RNA
Rfam family: Bacterial small subunit ribosomal RNA (bases 1-66)
Source: RNAcentral
UUCAUGACUGGGGUGAAGUCGUAACAAGGUAGCGCUAGGGGAACCUGGCGCUGGAUCACCUCCUUAUACGAAGAU